Molecule: ribosomal RNA, 253 nt
Filed under: uncultured bacterium
Lineage: Bacteria
Description: partial 16S ribosomal RNA
Rfam family: Bacterial small subunit ribosomal RNA
Source: RNAcentral
UACGAAGGGGGCGAGCGUUGUUCGGAAUUACUGGGCGUAAAGGGCGCGUAGGCGGCCGAUCAAGUCAGAUGUGAAAAUCCUGGGCUUAACCUGGGGACUGCAUUUGAUACUGAUUGGCUUGAAUGCAGGAGAGGAUAGCGGAAUUCCCAGUGUAGAGGUGAAAUUCGUAGAUAUUGGGAAGAACACCGGUGGCGAAGGCGGCUAUCUGGACUGUGAUUGACGCUGAGGCGCGAAAGCGUGGGGAGCAAACAGG